This is a long non-coding RNA of Astatotilapia calliptera (eastern happy), 1157 nucleotides long. NCBI's taxonomy places the organism in Eukaryota, Metazoa, Chordata, Actinopteri, Cichliformes, Cichlidae. The record is from Ensembl.
CAAGAUGGGAGCUGAGGCCAGGAGAGAGGCUUCAGGAGGAUCAGAGAUCAUCUUCAGCACAGCGGACAUCACACAGAGAGCUGUGCUACUGAGCUUCCAGGAGAUCAAGAGGAGACUUCCCACAGCAAGAUUUUAAAUAAAAUGAAAGAUUCAAUGUUGACGCUGAGGAAGACGACUAAGGUGUACGACGUGCUCUGCCUUAAAUCUUCAGCAGCGUUGGAACAUGAGAACUCGAGGGAUGGAGAGAGCGUGCCAAGCUCUAAAAGUGACGGUGCAGAGGAAGUCCAGCGAUGGAAUUGUGUUUCUGUGUGAGGCACAAAUACUAGGAGACUGGGAAAUAGUUGACACCACUUUUCCCAAGGAUGAAGAUCACCUAAAGUGUGUCACUUUGCCAUGCAGAUUUGAUGCUCUGCAGAGAAGCCUUCUGUGAGGGAGAGAUGUAAAUAGACGAGCCUUUUAUCUACAUUUAAAUCAUGUCAACUUCUCUAGGCUGGUUGAGGGGGAAUUGGAGAAAAAUGGUAGUGUUAGGUGUGACUGUUGUUAUUGUAACUGUGAUUUUUCUUAUAAGUGAAUUGCCCAGAGACAGACCUGAAUCCAUUCCAGCGACUGCAUCAUCACAGGCCACGGUGAAGCGAACCAAACGUAGUGAAACAGGGUUGCGGGGGGCGCUGGAGCCUAUCCCAGCUGUCAUAGGGUGAGAGGCAGGGUACACCCUGGACGGGUCGCCAGUCUGUCGCAGGGCUAACACACAGGGACAGACAACCAUUCACCCUCACAUUCACUCGCACAUUCACACCUAGUGGCAAUUUGGAUUAUCCAAUUAACCUAUCCCCACAAGCUGCAUGUCUUUGGACGGUGGGAGGAAGCCGGAGUACCCGGAGAGAACCCACGCAAACACGGGGAGAACAUGCAAACUCCACACAGAAAGACCCCGGCCUGAUGGUGGAAUUGAACUCAGGACCUUCUUGCUGUGCGGCAACAGUGCUAACCACCGUGCCAUGUAAAGGUUUAAAUAGUUCAUGGCGGGAAUAUGAUGUUUGGGUAGGUUACAAUCCAAUGGUAGCUAUAGAGUGUAAUAAUCAGAAGCUUGGUUACCCCUAUCACACUUAUUGGAAGGGCCCAUGUGAUUACUGGUCUACCAUAGUGGAGUAUUCUGG